RNAcentral lists this ribosomal RNA (440 nucleotides) under uncultured bacterium. RNAcentral describes it as "bacterial SSU rRNA". It matches the Rfam family "Bacterial small subunit ribosomal RNA", at positions 338 to 795 of the family's 1533-position model. The record is from RNAcentral.
CCUACGGGAGGCUGCAGUGGGGAAUAUUGCACAAUGGGCGAAAGCCUGAUGCAGCAACGCCGCGUGAGCGAUGAAGGUCUUCGGGUCGUAAAGCUCUGUCCUAAGGGAAGAAUACUGACGGUACCUUAGGAGGAAGCCCCGGCUAACUACGUGCCAGCAGCCGCGGUAUUACGUAGGGGGCUAGCGUUAUCCGGAACUACUGGGCGUAAAGGGUGCGUCGGCGGCCCUUCAAGUCAGAGGUGAAAGGCGACGGCUCAACCUUAGUAAGUCUUUGAAACUGUAGGGCUUGAGUGCCGGAGAGGCGAGUGGAAUUCCAAGUGUAGCGGUGAAAUGCGUAGAUAUUGGGAGGAACACCAGUUGCGAAGGCGGCUCUCUGGACUGUAACUGACGCUGAGGCACGAAAGUGUGGGGAGCGAACAGGAUUAGAUACCCGUGUAGUC